Molecule: long non-coding RNA, 130 nt
Organism: Phyllostomus discolor (pale spear-nosed bat)
Lineage: Eukaryota; Metazoa; Chordata; Mammalia; Chiroptera; Phyllostomidae
Exons: 3
Source: RefSeq, a predicted model, not a curated record
AUGGCCAGGAUGGGCUCGGGGGGGCCGACCACAGCAAACUCAGCUGCGCAGGGGCUGAGCCAGCUGGACCACGGCGAGGCACACAGGGAGGGCAGGCAGCUGGAGCACCAGGCACCUCCCCAUCCUGACC